Myodes glareolus (Bank vole) is the source of this 1607-nucleotide non-coding RNA. The record is from RefSeq and is a predicted model, not a curated record. NCBI's taxonomy places the organism in Eukaryota, Metazoa, Chordata, Mammalia, Rodentia, Cricetidae.
UUGCUAAGUAGCCAUGAUGACCCUGAUUUUCUUAUCUUUGCAUCUGCAGCCUUCCGAGCGCUGAGAUUAAAGGCAUGUACUGCUGUGCCAGAGAGCCCAGGACCUCCUGCAUGCUAGUGACCUGAACCGGCUAAGACAAACAAUACGAACCUUCUCUUCAUCCGCACCGUUUCUCAGGCAAAUGUGAGACCCUGGCUGUCAAGAAGGUGGGGUGGGCCUUGUGAAGAAAAGGAAGACAGUGAGAAACACCUCUACAUACCACAGGACAACAGUUCCUAACCACGGCUGCCUGGGGAUUACCUGCAGAGCUUUCAGAAGAGGAUACUGCCCAGAGCCUUCUGACAAAGACUUCAGUUUCAUUAGCUUGGGGCAGAAGGAAGGCUACAUUCAGGUACACUCACGGUGGCCAGAGGUGAGAACACAGGACCCAGGGGACCGCAUCUGAGCUAGUGAGAACAGCAAGAUGGGGUGAGUCACCACCUCUCACGCCACAUUCCCAUUUGUGAAGCAGGUGUGGUUCUGAGUACUGGAUUUAACAGUGACUGAAGCAGAGAAAAGUGAAGUUCAUACUGUCUGUAGGAACAGUGCAGAGUCCAGCAAAUGAAACUUGCUGUAUCCGCUUCUAUUUUCAGUUAGAUGGUACACAACAGCCCGGUAGACCUAAGUAAGCGUCUGUUCUUAUCUCAUCCAAAUGACUCACGAAAUGUCUAUCACAUGGCUUUACAUUUGUCUGUAGAGUACGGAGACCCUGAAUAACAAGGGCACCCCUAGUUCUUUUUUACGUAAAUGCAGAAGUCGCUCUGUCCCCUGAACUCUUUCCCAGCUUGCUAUCAGCACUUCAGGACUCCUGGACCGUGAAGCCCUUCCUGCCCACGCUCCUUGGAUCCUGCUCUCAGCAUUCAUAGAUCCCAGUUGAGUGAUGAGUCUCACGGCUUGGGAGGCCCACGUAUGACCUGAACCCUGAGCCUGGAAGAACUCUGUAAUGACAAGUAGCCCAUUAACACCCUCUUAUAGUCAGGCUUGGCUGGGUUCCCUGCCCAUGUCCACCCACCUGACUAUAGACCCUGCCCUAGCCCGACCUGAGUGGGCUCAAAUGCCAGCAGGAGCCGAAGCCCCACGGGUUUGCUCGCCAAGGAAGUCUCUACCAUCAGCUCCUGCCUUUCUUGUGAGGAAGUCUAUGGCCAGAUUCCAACAGCGCCGCUUCUGCCUGGUCCUCGUGCUAUAAAUGUCUGGAAAACUGCUCUUUCUUCCUUAUAGUCUUGUGGGUGGGACGGGGUUCCCAUUGCUUCUCUGGCCUUGCCCUUCCUCUCCUUCCAUCAACAACUGGUCCAGCUCUUGUGCCUCACUGCACAUGGCCCUCUCUCCUCACAGACUGAAGCUCCUCCAGGGAGAAACUGUUUCUCAUCCGCCUUUGCGUGUGCAGUGCCUAGCAGAAUCUGGCCCAUUAGAAAAUGGGAUGCCUUCUCCUGGCUUCCUAUGCUCAAACAAUGCCCAGCAUGGCACUCUGUUUCCUUCUGCUGCCUGCGGAUCAAGAUGCAGAACCCUCAGCCCCUUCUCCAGCACCAUGGCUGCCUGCACACCACCAUGUCCUGCCAUGAUGAUAAUGG